This 2634-nucleotide long non-coding RNA is filed under the name Callithrix jacchus (white-tufted-ear marmoset). RNAcentral's name for it is "lncRNA (ENSCJAG00000071804.1)". The record is from RNAcentral. Lineage: Eukaryota; Metazoa; Chordata; Mammalia; Primates; Cebidae.
AUGUGCCAGUCCCCCCUGCUGGGGAAAAGGCCUGUGACAUCAUGGCCAUGGCCACAUCUGUUGAGAGCCUGCUCCAGCAGGGGCUGGGCCCUGGACAUGCAUUGCCUCCCUCCAUUCCUCCAAGGUAGAGUUAAUCCCAUUUCUUUUCUUUUUUUUUUCUUCUUUUUUUAUCGAUGGAGUUUUGCUCUUGUUACCCAGGCUGGAGCACAAUGGCACGAUCUCGGCUCACUGCAACCUCUGCCUCCUGGGUUCAAGCAAUUCUCCUGCCUCAGCCUCCUGAGUAGCUGGGAUUAUAGGCACCAGCUACAAUGCCCAGAUGGAUUUGGAAGCACUGCAAGUGCGUGGAAGGGCCGUGUUUAUGUUGGCAAAGAAGGUCGGCCACUGAGCCAGGGUAUGUCUCCCGGAGGCCUUCGGGCUGCCAGGAUCCCCACUCUCUGCCAUGGGCUGCCAAGGCUGGUCAGUUACUAGCCAGUGACAUUGUCAAGGUUCCCUGCUCUCUACCCUGGUAAGGGCCCAGCCUAUGUCACCAAGCCCCAGGCUCCCAGCACCACACUCAGCCCAUGUGAGAUUGCCACUCCAGCUUCUGCCUUUCCUUGGGAGGGGACCAACUCCCAGCUCCCAUUAGUGCCCAGGUUGCACCCAGUCCCUUGACCUUGUGCCCAGGUUCUCUGGCACCUAAUGUAGAAAUGAUGCAACUGCCCCCUGGGCUUGCUGGGGGCCAGAGGGGGUGAGUUCAUCACAGAGCAUUUAGAAAUCAUUGAGUCAUUGAUGGUCCCGCUGGCUGUUAACAGUCGAUACAGCUCAGGUCAGCUUGCACCAAGGUCCUUCAACACAUGGGGUACACUGGCUAGCCACCUCUCCUAGGCAGGGCAGUGCAGUGGUGAGAGCAGGGACCUCAGCCAGGCGGCCUGGGAUCUAACUUCUGCCCUGUCACUGCUGGCUGUGAGGUGGUGUCCCAUGCCUCCCAGGUAUUCACACAGCCUUGCCCUCAGGAGCAGAGUCCAAGCCUGUCUUGUUCCCCCAACCACCUGCAAGGAACCUGGGCAUGCUCCUGGCCACCAGGACAUGGCUGAUGGACAUUACCUGACUGAAGGACAUUGCCAGGAAAGAGUGAGGUCCGGGGCAGGAGGACCAGUCAGUGUCACAGCCUGCAGCACGACCUCACUGGUUCUUUCCCACCUGUGUCUAUGAGAAGCACAGCCUAGGGUCUGGGCUGGGCAGCCAGGGGACUCAAAGACCCCCUUGUGUCCAGGGCAAAGGGCUCUGGGACACAGUAGGCAUCCCAUCCUUUGUGCCUGGAGCAGACACCCUGUGAGUGUACCUGCCGGGCCAGCCCUUAGCAAGCCAGCACCUGGGCCUGCCAGAGCCCCAGGCCUCAUGCUGAAUGUCCACAGGCCCACUCAGUGGCCUGCCCUCAGAUGAGCCUCAGGUCUGGCUCAUGGAGGUGAGGCGGGCAGGAGCUGGACCUCAAAUCCCAGGCUGCCCCUCCUAACAGAGCCCUGUGUGUCACAUGGCAAAGCCAUCACUUCUGACAGUUCUUAUACAGACCAGACUCUGGCCUGGGCUUGUAAUGGUGGCACACCAUGGGUGGCACUGGCCCGUCCUUGGGGGAGCUCACCAGUGUGAGUGGAAGGGAUCCUGCUCCAACCCCAGUCCACAGCCCGCUGUGCUCCCAUUUGGUGUUUUUUUUUUUUUAGACGAAUCUCACUCUUUGCCAGGCUGGAGUGCAGCGGUGCAAUCUCAGCUCACUGCCACCUCUGACUCCCAGGUUCAAGCAAUUCUCCUUUCUCAGCCUCCCUAGUAGCUGGGACUACAGGUGCAUGCCACCACAUCCAGCUAAUUUUUUGUAUUUUUUUCCUUUUUUUUCUUUGUUUCCCAUUUUAACUGAUUCUGCAAUAAAUUUUUGUAUUUUUAGUAGAGAAGGGGUUUCACCACGUUGGCCAGGAUAAUCUGCCUGCCUCGGCCUCCCAAAGUGCUGGGAUUACAGGCAUGGGCCACUGCACCUGGCCGGUGCUCCCGUUUUGUAGGUGAGCAGCCGGUAGGCUAGAAUUCAAGCCUUGGCCUCUGUGGCCCUGGGAGCCAUGGGCUUGGAAGCUGGGCUUGGCUCUGGCUGAUGGUCACAGGAAGCGUUUUUCUUUGAGUUGGGAAUGCCAGUGGCCUCCCUGAUGGCAGGUGCUCAUGUCUUACAGACUGGCCAGUUCCUGCUGGAAGCCCCUGGUCUGAUCUAGGAAGAUCAUGUCCAAGCCCCCCGACCUCAUGCUUCGGCUGCUCCGGGGCACCCCAAGGCAGUGGGUCUGCACCCUGUUCAUUCAUCAUCGGCUUCAAGUUCAUGUUUUGCAUCUCCAUCAUGAUCUACUGGCACAUUGUGGGAGAGCCCAAGGAGCAAGGGCAGCUCUAUAACCUGCUGGCAGAUAUUCUUUGCCCCACCAUGGCACCCCUCACCCAUCCCUCUUACAGCCCCCCUCUGGGCAACAUCUUCUUCCUAGAGACUUCAGACCAGACCAACCCCAACUUCCUCUUCAUGUGCUCGGUGGAGUCGGCCGCCAGAACUCACCCCGAAUCCCAUGUGCUGGUCCUGAUGAAAGGGCUUCCAGGUGGCAAUGCCUCCCUGCCCCAGCACCUGGAAAUGUGUUU